RNAcentral lists this ribosomal RNA (210 nucleotides) under uncultured Glomus. RNAcentral's name for it is "partial small subunit ribosomal RNA". It matches the Rfam family "Eukaryotic small subunit ribosomal RNA", at positions 591 to 806 of the family's 1831-position model. Lineage: Eukaryota; Fungi; Glomeromycota; Glomeromycetes; Glomerales; Glomeraceae. The record is from RNAcentral.
CCAAUAGCGUAUAUUAAAGUUGUUGCAGUUAAAAAGCUCGUAGUUGAAUUUCGGGGUCAGCAGGUUGGUCGUGCCUCUGGUAUGCACUGGUUUCGCUGAUUCCUCCUUUCUGAAGAACUGUAAUGCCAUUAAUUUGGUGUUGCAGGGAAACAGGACUGUUACUUUGAAAAAAUUAGAGUGUUUAAAGCAAGCUAACGCUUGAAUACAUUA